CGUGUAGGCGGUUUGUUAAGUCUGAUGUGAAAGCCCCGGGCUCAACCUGGGAAGUGCAUCGGAUACUGGCAGACUUGAAUACGGGAGAGGGUAGUGGAAUUCCUGGUGUAGGAGUGAAAUCCGUAGAUAUCAGGAGGAACACCGGUGGCGAAGGCGGCUACCUGGACCGAUAUUGACGCUGAGACGCGAAAGCGUGGGGAGCAAACAGGAUUAGAUACCCUGGUAGUCCACGCCGUAAACGAUGAGUACUAGGUGUUGCGGGUAUUGACCCCUGCAGUGCCGCAGCUAACGCAUUAAGUACUCCGCCUGGGAAGUACGGUCGCAAGACUAAA
Molecule: ribosomal RNA, 332 nt
Filed under: uncultured bacterium
Lineage: Bacteria
Description: bacterial SSU rRNA
Rfam family: Bacterial small subunit ribosomal RNA
Source: RNAcentral